Long non-coding RNA from Aethalodelphis obliquidens (Pacific white-sided dolphin), 888 nucleotides. RefSeq lists it as uncharacterized. Lineage: Eukaryota; Metazoa; Chordata; Mammalia; Artiodactyla; Delphinidae. The transcript is spliced from 4 exons. The record is from RefSeq and is a predicted model, not a curated record.
AACGCCGAAAUUCUUACUUUCAUGUACAAGGAUGGUGGAGAGGAAAGAACAAGAAAAAGAUCUGCACACACUGAGGAAAAAGGCCAUGUGAGGACACGCAGAAAAGGUGGCCAUCUGCGACCCACGGAGAGACCUCUCACCAGACACUGACCCUGCUGGCACCCUUAUCUGGAACUUCCAUUCUCCAGAACUUCCAGAACAACAUGUGGCUGCCUGCCUCCCCAUCUGUCCUCACCUCAAAGUGUACUUUACACCAUGCAAGCUUUGGGUUCCAUGAAAUCUGGAAACAUCCUGCAGAGACUGCAGAAUGAUAAUGAAAGAGAAACAACACAGAGAGUCCUUUGCAGCCCUGCAGCUUUCUCUAGCCUGUCACAGAGUCAAUAUGCAAACACAGAGUAUUACUGAUGUGGUCAGUAAUACAAACACUCUGAAGCAGAAAAGCAGGUGUGCUGGAGUCCAGACCAGAUUUCCUCUUGGUGCAUCAGAGACUGAGUUCAGACCACAUUUUUGUCCUUUAGCAUCCAUUGUUAGUAACCACGUAAGACACUCUUCACAGGUCUCAUUCCAGCAGCUUUGGAACGUAGCUUCUGUCAUUCUCAAUCCUUUGAUCAUCUUUUCAAAAUCAAGUUAAUGACUUUCUUCCAGGUAUGGUUAGAAAUAAAUAUUUUGACCUUAUGAAACAUACCUAACUACCGGUACCAUAGUUCUGGUGCUCAGACAAACAUCUUUUGUAUGAUGCCUCAUUGGCCUGAUUUAUUUCUGUCUCUGUGUGUAGUACAGAACACAAGGCAUAAUGCUAGAUAAAAUGCGAGUGACCUUCUGGAAACUGAUAAGUAAGUGGGACACACAUAAGAAAACAUUUAAUAUUCUGUAAUUAAGGUAUCAUAA